Molecule: ribosomal RNA, 253 nt
Filed under: uncultured bacterium
Lineage: Bacteria
Description: partial 16S ribosomal RNA
Rfam family: Bacterial small subunit ribosomal RNA
Source: RNAcentral
UACGAAGGGUGCAAACGUUGCUCGGAAUUAUUGUGCGUAAAGCGCACGUAGGCGGCUUAGCAAGUCCCAUGUGAAAGCCCACGGCUCAACCGUGGAAGUGCAUGGGAAACUGCUGAGCUUGAGUACUUAAGAGGAUCGCGGAAUUCCCGGUGUAGAGGUGAAAUUCGUAGAUAUCGGAAGGAACACCGAUGGCGAAAGCAGCGUGCUGGACCUUUUCUGACGCUGAGGCGCGAAAGCCAGGGGAGCAAACGGG